CGGGGCCCUCUAGCUGGGAUCAGCAGGCCUUGUUUCACCAGGCCUACAACAACGUCGCGACCCAACACCCCAACAGCGCCACCGACUGGAUAAUGGAUUCAGGCGCCUCUUCACACGUCACAGGUCAGCAAGGAUCUCGCCAGCAGGACGGUUCUCAUGCGCUCCAAUAGCCCAGGUCCACUCUACCCCUUCCAUGGUGAUUCGGAGCACACCACGAUGGCUCUCUCCGUUGCGGUCGACGGUGAUACCUGGCACAAACGGCUUGGUCACCCCGGCCACGCUACUCUCUCACGUCUUUCUCGUGAUUUUAUUCAGCUUUGUAAUAAACCGACCCCUGUAUGCUCAUC
This is a long non-coding RNA of Triticum dicoccoides, 347 nucleotides long. RefSeq lists it as uncharacterized. The record is from RefSeq and is a predicted model, not a curated record. Lineage: Eukaryota; Viridiplantae; Streptophyta; Magnoliopsida; Poales; Poaceae. The transcript has 2 exons.